AAAGCAUGAGUCGACUCCUGCAGCAGCCGAGUCGACUCCAGAUCGCGCGAGUCGACUCCGAUCCCAACGGAAACAUUGUCAGGAUGUGCAGAAUGUGCAGAACGACUAGAAGAUUGUGUCUAACGGCUAGUUUUCGUGGGGAAUGGAUUAAAUAGCCACAGAGAACUGUAGCAAGGGAGAGAAGUGAUAUUCCUUUCAAAGAAAACAAGAAAUCUCCAGCUACCACUUGAUUUCAAAGAGCAUACAAAGGAAAAGAAGGAAGAGGGCCAUUAACUCCAUUCAACCAACUCUUCCCAGCAUUAAAGAAGUCUCCUUCAGCCUUCAAGUCUUCAAGACAUUCAAGAGGAGACCCAGAGUUCGAGAAGCCCUCCUCUACAUCUUCAUAAACUUGUUUGAGGGCUCUUAACUUCUCUCCUAUUUAUAUUGCUGAAUAUCUGCUUGUUUAGAAGCUGUAUUUUUCUAUUUGUUUUUCUAUCCAUUUGGUCCUUACUUGAUUCAAUCAGGGGAUUGAAUCAAGGGUGUAAAGGUUUGUUGGUGAGCCUAGGUU
RNAcentral lists this long non-coding RNA (547 nucleotides) under Phoenix dactylifera (date palm). RNAcentral describes it as "long non-coding RNA (PDAC_LNC001515)". Lineage: Eukaryota; Viridiplantae; Streptophyta; Magnoliopsida; Arecales; Arecaceae. The record is from RNAcentral.